AACGUACGCUGGCGGCACGCCUAACACAUGCAAGUCGAACGGAGUAGCAAUACUUAGUGGCAGACGGGUGAGUAACAUGUGGGUAUCUGCCCUUUGGCCUGGAAUAACACGAGGAAACUUGUGCUAAUACCGGAUAAGUCUUUACGGAGAAAGCUUUAUGCACCAUUGGAUGAGCCUGCACUUGAUUAGUUUGUUGGUGGGGUAAUGGCCUACCAAGACUGUGAUCAAUAGCUGAUUUGAGAGGAUGAUCAGCCACAUUGGGACUGAGACACGGCCCAAACUCCUACGGGAGGCAGCAGUGGGGAAUCUUGCACAAUGGAGGAAACUCUGAUGCAGCGAUGCCGCGUGAGUGAAGAAGGCCCUUGGGUUGUAAAGCUCUUUCGUCGGGGAAGAAAAUGACUGUACCCGAAUAAGAAGGUCCGGCUAACUUCGUG
Molecule: ribosomal RNA, 434 nt
Filed under: uncultured bacterium
Lineage: Bacteria
Description: bacterial SSU rRNA
Rfam family: Bacterial small subunit ribosomal RNA
Source: RNAcentral